RNAcentral lists this ribosomal RNA (436 nucleotides) under Clostridioides difficile. Its description in RNAcentral is "bacterial SSU rRNA". It matches the Rfam family "Bacterial small subunit ribosomal RNA", at positions 347 to 801 of the family's 1533-position model. The record is from RNAcentral. Lineage: Bacteria; Bacillati; Bacillota; Clostridia; Peptostreptococcales; Peptostreptococcaceae.
GGCAGCAGUGGGGAAUAUUGCACAAUGGGCGAAAGCAUAAUGCAGCAACGCCGCGUGAGUGAUGAAGGCCUUCGGGUCGUAAAACUCUGUCCUCAAGGAAGAUAAUGACGGUACUUGAGGAGGAAGCCCCGGCUAACUACGUGCCAGCAGCCGCGGUAAUACGUAGGGGGCUAGCGUUAUCCGGAUUUACUGGGCGUACAGGGUGCGUAGGCGGUCUUUCAAGUCAGGAGUGAAAGGCUACGGCUCAACCGUAGUAAGCUCUUGAAACUGGGAGACUUGAGUGCAGGAGAGGAGAGUGGAAUUCCUAGUGUAGCGGUGAAAUGCGUAGAUAUUAGGAGGAACACCAGUUGCGAAGGCGGCUCUCUGGACUGUAACUGACGCUGAGGCACGAAAGCGGGGGGAGCAAACAGGAUUAGAUACCCUGGUAGUCCACGCU